Molecule: transfer RNA, 56 nt
Filed under: Armillifer agkistrodontis
Lineage: Eukaryota; Metazoa; Arthropoda; Ichthyostraca; Porocephalida; Armilliferidae
Description: tRNA-Pro
Source: RNAcentral
CAAGGGAUAGUUUAUUUAGAAUAUUAAUUUUGGGGAUUAAAGGAUUAUUCUUUUGA